UUCAUUUUCUUAUGAGACUUAGGUUUCGUCGUCUACCAUUCUUACAGCUUUCUCUUACCUUGAUGGUUCUUUUUUCCUCAGCACGGUGUGGAUUUCUCUAUUUUAGACCGUGUGGAGGUAUAUUAGUUUUUUUAUUUUUGGUGUUUUGUUGCUCUGUUUUGAGCCUUUUGUAAGUGGUGCUUGAAAUAGUGAGAGAGAUGUAAUGGUGUCUGUAUUUUCUUUGAGAGUUUGGGUUGCAAAUCGAUGAUUGUCAGUGUUAAAAGAGGCGGCACGGCUGACGAAAAUUCAUUGGGUUGAAACCAAAAAGAGAAAUGGCCACAUGAAAGGCACAAGUGGAAUGUUGAGAGCUCUCCUUUCUUCUUUAUGUGUCGGUUGCCUGAUGAAAUUUCUUUUGCUCCCUCUUUAAACCUUAGUCACGUGACUAUUAAAAGAGAGUAAUUGUGUCUUUUGGUUAGAGUUUGAGGUCUGUUUGCUACACACAAGGUUUCAAAUGUGCAAGACCUUUUUUGUUGGUGCUUUCUGAGUGUUAAUGGUCACUCUUCGAUCGAUCUAGUGGGUUUUUUCCUUGGUAGAUCUCGUGCAUUCUUGAUAAGUCAACACUUUCUCUAUCUACUUCACUGGUCAUGCUUCUUUCCGAUCAAAAGACCCACUAUCUAGUUAGGGUUUCUCGUAUGUAGGAUUGGACCUUGUUUGUAAGAGCUGAGGUGGUGGAUUAUUUGAAAUACUUGUAUCAUACUUUAUGGGCUCUGUAUGUUUUUUUAGCUCCCUAAUGAAUAUUAUAUUUUGAGAAAAAAAA
This 796-nucleotide long non-coding RNA is filed under the name Manihot esculenta (cassava). RNAcentral's name for it is "long non-coding RNA (MESC_LNC009776)". The record is from RNAcentral. Lineage: Eukaryota; Viridiplantae; Streptophyta; Magnoliopsida; Malpighiales; Euphorbiaceae.